RNAcentral lists this ribosomal RNA (301 nucleotides) under uncultured bacterium. Its description in RNAcentral is "partial 16S ribosomal RNA". It matches the Rfam family "Bacterial small subunit ribosomal RNA", at positions 509 to 807 of the family's 1533-position model. The record is from RNAcentral.
CAGUCGCCACGGUAAUACGUAGGGUGCGAGCGUUAAUCGGAAUUACUGGGCGUAAAGCGUGCGCAGGCGGUUUGUUAAGACAGAUGUGAAAUCCCCGGGCUCAACCUGGGAACUGCAUUUGUGACUGGCAAGCUAGAGUGUGGCAGAGGGGGGUGGAAUUCCGCGUGUAGCAGUGAAAUGCGUAGAUAUGCGGAGGAACACCGAUGGCGAAGGCAGCCCCCUGGGCCAACACUGACGCUCAUGCACGAAAGCGUGGGGAGCAAACAGGAUUAGAUACCCGGGUAGUCCCUGUCUCUUAUAC